Molecule: ribosomal RNA, 497 nt
Filed under: uncultured bacterium
Lineage: Bacteria
Description: partial 16S ribosomal RNA
Rfam family: Bacterial small subunit ribosomal RNA
Source: RNAcentral
GAUGAACGCUGGCGGCGUGCCUAAUACAUGCAAGUCGAGCGAACAGACGAGGAGCUUGCUCCUCUGACGUUAGCCGCGGACGGGUGAGUAACACGUGGAUAACCUACCUAUAAGACUGGGAUAACUUCGGGAAACCGGAGCUAAUACCGGAUAAUAUAUUGAACCGCAUGGGUCGAUAGUGAAAGACGGUUUUGCUGUCACUUAUCGAUGGAUCCGAGCCGCGUUAGCGAGUUGGUAAGGUAACGGCUUUCCAAGGCAACGAUGCGUAGGCGACGUGAGGGGGGGGUCGGCCACACGGGAACUGAGACACGGUCCAGACUCCUACGGGAGGCCGCAGUAGGGAAUCUUCCGCAAUGGGCGAAAGCCUGACGGAGCAACGCCGCGUGAGUGAUGAAGGUCUUCGGAUCGUAAAACUCUGUUAUUAGGGAAGAACAAAUGUGUAAGUAACUAUGCACGUCUUGACGGUACCUAAUCAGAAAGCCACGGCUAACUACGUG